CGGGAAUUUUGGGCAAUGGGCGAAAGCCUGACCCAGCAACGCCGCGUGAAGGAUGAAAUCCCUCGGGAUGUAAACUUCGCAAGAGCGGGAAGAAUAAGUAGGGGACAAUACCCCCUAUGAUGACGGUACCGUUUGUAAGCUCCGGCUAACUCCGUGCCAGCAGCCGCGGUAAUACGGGGGGAGCAAGCGUUGUUCGGAUUUACUGGGCGUAAAGGGCGCGUAGGCGGUCAGCACAAGUCAGUUGUGAAAUCUCCGAGCUUAACUCGGAAAGGUCAACUGAUACUGUGCGACUAGAGUGCAGAAGGGGCAACUGGAAUUCUCGGUGUAGCGGUGAAAUGCGUAGAUAUCGAGAGGAACACCUGCGGCGAAGGCGGGUUGCUGGGCUGACACUGACGCUGAGGCGCGAAAGCUAGGGGAGCGA
RNAcentral lists this ribosomal RNA (421 nucleotides) under uncultured bacterium. RNAcentral describes it as "bacterial SSU rRNA". It matches the Rfam family "Bacterial small subunit ribosomal RNA", at positions 356 to 771 of the family's 1533-position model. The record is from RNAcentral.